CUAUACAUGCAAGUCGAGCGCAGGAAGUUAUCUGAUCCUCUUUUAGAGGUGACGAUAAUGGAAUGAGCGGCGGACGGGUGAGUAACACGUAGGCAACCUGCCUGUAAGACUGGGAUAACUCGUGGAAACGCGAGCUAAUACCGGAUAACACUUUUCAUCUCCUGAUGAUAAGUUGAAAGGCGGCUUUUGCUGUCACUUACAGAUGGGCCUGCGGCGCAUUAGCUAGUUGGUAAGGUAAUGGCUUACCAAGGCGACGAUGCGUAGCCGACCUGAGAGGGUGAUCGGCCACACUGGGACUGAGACACGGCCCAGACUCCUACGGGAGGCAGCAGUAGGGAAUCUUCCGCAAUGGACGAAAGUCUGACGGAGCAACGCCGCGUGAGUGAUGAAGGUUUUCGGAUCGUAAAACUCUGUUGUUAGGGAAGAACAAGUGCCAUAGUAACUGAUGGCACCUUGACGGUACCUAACCAGAAAGCCACGGCUAACUACGUGCCAGCAGCCGCGGUAAUACGUAGGUGGCAAGCGUUGUCCGGAAUUAUUGGGCGUAAAGCGCUCGCAGGCGGUUCUUUAAGUCUGAUGUGAAAUCUUACGGCUCAACCGUAAACGUGCAUUGGAAACUGGGGAACUUGAGUGCAGAAGAGGAGAGUGGAAUUCCACGUGUAGCGGUGAAAUGCGUAGAGAUGUGGAGGAACACCAGUGGCGAAGGCGACUCUCUGGUCUGUAACUGACGCUGAGGAGCGAAAGCGUGGG
This 750-nucleotide ribosomal RNA is filed under the name Bacillus sp. YIM 91067. Its description in RNAcentral is "bacterial SSU rRNA". It matches the Rfam family "Bacterial small subunit ribosomal RNA", at positions 49 to 765 of the family's 1533-position model. Lineage: Bacteria; Bacillati; Bacillota; Bacilli; Caryophanales; Bacillaceae. The record is from RNAcentral.